GAUGAACGCUGGCGGCGUGCCUAAUACAUGCAAGUCGAGCGAACGGACGAGAAGCUUGCUUCUCUGAUGUUAGCGGCGGACGGGUGAGUAACACGUGGAUAACCUACCUAUAAGACUGGGAUAACUUCGGGAAACCGGAGCUAAUACCGGAUGAUAUUUUGAACCGCAUGGUUCAAAAGUGAAAGACGGUCUUGCUGUCACUUAUAGAUGGAUCCGCGCUGCAUUAGCUAGUUGGUAAGGUAACGGCUUACCAAGGCAACGAUGCAUAGCCGACCUGAGAGGGGGAGGAGACAGCAGGGAAGUGAGACACGGUAUGGAAAACGGCGGGAGGCAGCAGUAGGGAAUGGGCGGGAAAGGGCGAAAGCUCGAAGAAGUAAUGCAGGGUGAGGGAUGAAGGUAGUAGGAGCGUAUGAAUCUGGUAUUAAGGAAGAAAAAAAGUGCAAGGAACUACGCCGGGCUUGAAGGGACAGAAAGAGAAAGAAAAGGCUAAAUACGGG
This 497-nucleotide ribosomal RNA is filed under the name uncultured bacterium. RNAcentral describes it as "partial 16S ribosomal RNA". It matches the Rfam family "Bacterial small subunit ribosomal RNA", at positions 28 to 507 of the family's 1533-position model. The record is from RNAcentral.